This 499-nucleotide ribosomal RNA is filed under the name uncultured bacterium. Its description in RNAcentral is "bacterial SSU rRNA". It matches the Rfam family "Bacterial small subunit ribosomal RNA", at positions 29 to 518 of the family's 1533-position model. The record is from RNAcentral.
AUGAACGCUAGCGACAGGCUAACACAUGCAAGUCGAGGGGUAACAGGGUAGCAAUACCGCUGACGACCGGCGCACGGGUGAGUAACGCGUAUGCAACCUGCCUAGUAACUGGGGGAAUAGCUCCCUGAAAGGGGGAAUUAACACCGCAUAACACUAUUGAUUCGCAUGGAUUAGUAGUUAAAUGUAGCGAUACAGGUUAUAGAUGGGCAUGCGUGACAUUAGCUAGUUGGUGAGGUAACGGCUCACCAAGGCUACGAUGUCUAGGGGUUCUGAGAGGAAGGUCCCCCCACACUGGUACUGAGACACGGACCAGACUCCUACGGGAGGCAGCAGUGAGGAAUAUUGGUCAAUGGGCGCAAGCCUGAACCAGCCAUGUCGCGUGCAGGAAGACUGCCCUAUGGGUUGUAAACUGCUUUUAUAGUAGAAGAAACACAUCUACGCGUAGAUGUCUGCCAGUAUACUAUGAAUAAGCAUCGGCUAACUCCGUGCCAGCCGCAGC